This 744-nucleotide long non-coding RNA is filed under the name Gossypium barbadense (sea-island cotton). RNAcentral's name for it is "long non-coding RNA (GBAR_LNC020787)". The record is from RNAcentral. Lineage: Eukaryota; Viridiplantae; Streptophyta; Magnoliopsida; Malvales; Malvaceae.
GCUAAGCUUUAACCGACAAGUGUAGAAGCAUAAAGUAAGAUCGUCUGACAUUAUCUUUUUUGGGCCAAUGUAAGGAUUGUCAUCAUUUCCUUGUACCGUAAUAACCUUGUUUUGCAAUUAGAUGUAAUCAUGAGUAAGGUUAUUCGGUCCGGCCCCAAAACCUGCCUGAAAAAUGAGAGAAUUUGAGUAAAAAUAUAAGCACAAAAUAUAGGUUUUGGCAAAAAAAUGAGGUCCAGUGCUUGGGUAAAACUUUUUUAGCCCAGGCCCAGCACGGCCCAGCCCGAAUUAUAUAUUAAGCUUAGCAAUUUUUUCUCGGUCCAGACUUAGACAAAUUUUUAGACUCAUAUUUCGGACCAAACCCGGGCUUAAAAACGGGCCUAAAAUUUUGUCUGGGACCGGCCCAACUCGGCCCAUGAUCACCUGUAUUUGCAACGAGUAAUGCUAUUGAUUAUAUUACCUUGCCGUUCAAGUCAUUUUUUAAUCUAUUCUGUUCAUAGCUGUUGAACCACUGAGAUCACUGAUUCAAAUGUAUAAUUGCACAAUCCCAUGCCUCUCCAAUAAAAAAAGGGACUUACACACAACUUUCCUGCAAAUACAAAUUCCUAAUGAACAUGAUUCCUUAGAUCAGUUGAACUUGUUAUGAAAAAUAUGGGUUUUUGGGUUAUACAUUGUUCAAAUAUAACUAUAAACCAGACUAUCAGUUAAUUUAAAGGAAUAUAAAAGAACCUGCAUACUUAGUCUGUG